RNAcentral lists this ribosomal RNA (253 nucleotides) under uncultured bacterium. RNAcentral describes it as "partial 16S ribosomal RNA". It matches the Rfam family "Bacterial small subunit ribosomal RNA", at positions 524 to 776 of the family's 1533-position model. The record is from RNAcentral.
UACGUAGGGUGCGAGCGUUAAUCGGAAUUACUGGGCGUAAAGCGUGCGCAGGCGGUUGUGUAAGACAGAUGUGAAAUCCCCGGGCUCAACCUGGGAACUGCGUUUGUGACUGCACGGCUAGAGUACGGCAGAGGGGGGUGGAAUUCCUGGUGUAGCAGUGAAAUGCGUAGAGAUCAGGAGGAACAUCGAUGGCGAAGGCAGCCCCCUGGGCCUGUACUGACGCUCAUGCACGAAAGCGUGGGGAGCAAACAGG